GCGCUGGCUUUGGCAGCACAUAUAUUAAAACUGGAACAAUACAGAGAAGAUUAGCAUGGCCCCUGCUCAAGGAUGACACAGAGAUUUGUGAAGCAUUCCAUAUUUUU
RNAcentral lists this small nuclear RNA (107 nucleotides) under Neotoma lepida (desert woodrat). Lineage: Eukaryota; Metazoa; Chordata; Mammalia; Rodentia; Cricetidae. The record is from RNAcentral.